Molecule: non-coding RNA, 206 nt
Organism: Ceratotherium simum simum (southern white rhinoceros)
Lineage: Eukaryota; Metazoa; Chordata; Mammalia; Perissodactyla; Rhinocerotidae
Source: RefSeq, a predicted model, not a curated record
AGACAACACUAAAAUUGGUUACAUAUUAACUCUGUCAUAUCUAAGCUACAAGAAAUCUUUACCACAAACAGAAUGCUUGGCCCAGUCAGAAGUUUUGAACAUUAGUCAAUAACUAAACCCUUCUGUCUCACAGGAAAACCAGUCUUAAAACUAAGGUCUCUUAUUUUGCACCUUUUCAUCAGGAGGCUGAGGGUUAAAGUUUUUCA